Bison bison bison is the source of this 50-nucleotide small nucleolar RNA. Its record names the gene SNORD115. It matches the Rfam family "Small nucleolar RNA SNORD115". Rfam says of the family: HBII-52 is a member of the C/D class of snoRNAs, which contain the C (UGAUGA) and D (CUGA) box motifs. HBII-52 is encoded in a tandemly repeated array with another C/D snoRNA, HBII-85, in the Prader-Willi syndrome (PWS) region of chromosome 15. NCBI's taxonomy places the organism in Eukaryota, Metazoa, Chordata, Mammalia, Artiodactyla, Bovidae. The record is from Ensembl.
UCUCCUGUUGAAGAGAGAUGAUGACCUAAAAAUCAUGUUCAAUAGGAUUA